Molecule: transfer RNA, 72 nt
Filed under: Ceratocystis platani
Lineage: Eukaryota; Fungi; Ascomycota; Sordariomycetes; Microascales; Ceratocystidaceae
Rfam family: tRNA
About the family: Transfer RNA (tRNA) molecules are approximately 80 nucleotides in length. Their secondary structure includes four short double-helical elements and three loops (D, anti-codon, and T loops).
Source: Rfam by way of RNAcentral
UCCUUGGUAGCUUAAGAGGCAAAGCAAGUGGCUGUUAACCGCUAGAAGUAGGUUCGAGUCCUACCCAAGGAG